UACGUAGGGAGCAAGCGUUGUCCGGAUUUAUUGGGCGUAAAGAGCUCGUAGGCGGUUUAGAAAGUCGGGUGUGAAACCUCCAGGCUCAACCUGGAGACGCCACUCGAUACUUCUAUGACUUGAGUUCGGUAGGGGAUCACGGAAUUCCUGGUGUAGCGGUGAAAUGCGCAGAUAUCAGGAGGAACACCGACGGCGAAGGCAGUGAUCUGGGCCGAUACUGACGCUGAGGAGCGAAAGCGUGGGGAGCGAACAGG
This 254-nucleotide ribosomal RNA is filed under the name uncultured prokaryote. Its description in RNAcentral is "partial 16S ribosomal RNA". It matches the Rfam family "Bacterial small subunit ribosomal RNA", at positions 524 to 776 of the family's 1533-position model. The record is from RNAcentral.